UGGCUGGGCUGCCUGGUGGCGGGGCGCUGGAUCGGGUUCUUGUAAGGCCGGGACAGGCGGGGCGCCUCAAGCGGCGUCUUCGAGCGCCGCCUCGACCAGC
RNAcentral lists this transfer RNA (100 nucleotides) under Achromobacter veterisilvae. RNAcentral's name for it is "Achromobacter sp. LMG 30378 tRNA-Thr". The record is from RNAcentral. Lineage: Bacteria; Pseudomonadati; Pseudomonadota; Betaproteobacteria; Burkholderiales; Alcaligenaceae.